GAGACACGAGCGGCACAGCGGCGCAGCUCCCGUCACUGUCAGGGCUUUCAUGUCCGCUUGUGUUGUUCUUGUGGCGUCCCUUGGGUGGCGCUCACAUUCGAAGGGCACCUAAACUGAGCCCCCCGUGAGCUUCUCUUCAGUAUCCUGAUGAAUUAAUGGGUGGCUGUGCACAGGUUAUGGGCCUCUUGGUGGCACUAAAGUGUGAUGAUCACGACAUGGCUGGCAGGACGUCCAUGCAGGGUGGCUGUCCCUCCUGAGUGCCUGCUGUGCGGCUUCUUCAGUUAUUGUCGUGUAACUUUCUUUUUUUUUUAAGAUAAAUGAUAACAGCCGCCAAUCAGAUGACUCCCUGAAACAGGAAAACCGUGACGAGGUCGCCGGUCUGUCGUUUCCUUUCGGCCACCCGUCACACGAGGGUCGCGCUGUCGCCUGCAGCAGUCAUGUCUCUGGUGCUGCGCUUCGCUCUCCUGUCUGCUUUUCUCGGCGGAGGACUGGCUUUAACGAUAACCCAAGAAGCCAUCUCAGUAACCAAAGGUGUGACGAAAACUGCUCGGUUUACCUGUAAAUCGGAUGAGAAGGUGGGCUACGUUCACUGGUACCAACACAAGGACCACGAGCCCCCGCGGAGAAUUCUUUACAUCACUACGAGCUCCGGCUCGGUGGCUCACGAUGACAGCGGCGAGAGAGAGAAGUUCAGCGCCGACGGGACGAGCUACACGUUAGCACUGAAGAGCGUCGAACAAAGCGACGAAGCCACGUAUUACUGCGCCGCCUGGACCAGCCACAGUGACACGGGGCGCGCGACCCCCCGCACAAGAACAGACCCCUCGAACGGCCUGUGUCACUUGGCGCGUCAGACACGAGGGGGAGGGAGGGGAGGAGACGAUCGGGGGCUCGACACCCCUUUAAAGGGAUACACGGUGGUCCACAGAGAAUCCGAAACAAGCAAAGCCCUCAAAGCAGAGCUGCUCCUCAUCUAA
Non-coding RNA from Erpetoichthys calabaricus (reedfish), 977 nucleotides. Lineage: Eukaryota; Metazoa; Chordata; Cladistia; Polypteriformes; Polypteridae. The record is from the annotation of a RefSeq genome assembly.